RNAcentral lists this ribosomal RNA (253 nucleotides) under uncultured bacterium. Its description in RNAcentral is "partial 16S ribosomal RNA". It matches the Rfam family "Bacterial small subunit ribosomal RNA", at positions 524 to 776 of the family's 1533-position model. The record is from RNAcentral.
UACGGAGGGGGCUAGCGUUGUUCGGAAUUACUGGGCGUAAAGCGCACGUAGGCGGCUUUGUAAGUUAGAGGUGAAAGCCCGGAGCUUAACUCCGGAAUUGCCUUUAAGACUGCAUCGCUAGAAUUGUGGAGAGGUAAGUGGAAUUCCGAGUGUAGAGGUGAAAUUCGUAGAUAUUCGGAAGAACACCAGUGGCGAAGGCGACUUACUGGACACAUAUUGACGCUGAGGUGCGAAAGCGUGGGGAGCAAACAGG